Molecule: ribosomal RNA, 409 nt
Filed under: uncultured bacterium
Lineage: Bacteria
Description: bacterial SSU rRNA
Rfam family: Bacterial small subunit ribosomal RNA
Source: RNAcentral
CGCCAGACUCCUACGGGAGGCAGCAGUGGGGAAUAUUGCACAAUGGGGGGAACCCUGAUGCAGCGACGCCGCGUGGGUGAAGGAGCACCUCGGUGCGUAAAGCCCUAUCGGCAGGGAAGAAGGAGGACGGGACCUGACUAAGAAGCCCCGGCUAACUACGGGCCUGCAGCCGCGGGAAUACGGAGGGGGCAAGCGUUAUCCGGAUUUACUGGGUGUAAAGGGGGCGCAGACGGCAGCGCAAGCCAGGAGUGAAAGCCCGGGGCCCAACCCCGGGACUGCUCUUGGAACUGCGCGGCUGGAGUGCAGGAGGGGCAGGCGGAAUUCCUGGUGUAGCGGUGAAAUGCGUAGAUAUCAGGAGGAACACCGGCGGCGAAGGCGGUCUGCUGGACAGCAACUGACGCUGAGGCGC